This 253-nucleotide ribosomal RNA is filed under the name uncultured bacterium. RNAcentral describes it as "partial 16S ribosomal RNA". It matches the Rfam family "Bacterial small subunit ribosomal RNA", at positions 524 to 776 of the family's 1533-position model. The record is from RNAcentral.
UACAGAGGUCUCAAGCGUUGUUCGGAUUCAUUGGGCGUAAAGGGUGCGUAGGUGGGCAGGUAAGUCAGUGGUGAAAUCUCUGGGCUUAACCCGGAAACUGCCAUUGAUACUAUCUGUCUUGAAUACCGUGGAGGUUAGCGGAAUAUGUCAUGUAGCGGUGAAAUGCUUAGAUAUGACAUAGAACACCAAUUGCGAAGGCAGCUGGCUACACGAAUAUUGACACUGAUGCACGAAAGCGUGGGGAUCAAACAGG